AGCGUCCUGCAGUCCCUACUAAAGCAGCUUCCUGCUGGAUGCUGCGGUCCAGAGAGAUGGCGGCGGCUCCGCCCACGCACGGGCACAACCCUGCGGAAGGGUACAUGUAAUCCUCACCCCCAUUAAGAAAACUUCUCUUUGCAACAGAUGGUGACCAUCACAGAAAAUCACACUCAAUCAAAAUGCAGAGCUGUGAAGCCCAGUCCCACCUGAUACAUCUGCAACACAACCCCGCACCUAAGGCUCUGGGAUAACUAUGGAAGAGGGGGCAGAAAGACAGUAAGAAAAAGAGUACCAGGAAGUUUACCGUGAGUUUGUGUCUCCUAGGAGUGUCAGAAGCUACACCCUAGAAGUCUCCGCAACAUGACUGCCUAAACAUGACCACAACAAGGAUGGCAUGAAUGGACAUGCUGGCAUGGAUAGGGAAAGGCCCAAAAGGCCUCAGAUGUACAUAAAAUCCUAUGGGCAGGUCUAAAUUAGCCGGGCGACCUGGAAGAACAAGCAGCCUCCUUCAACACAAACUGGUAAGGAAAAGGACGACAAGAUCAAGAACAAAAUGAGCAAAGGGUUUUCACAAUCAAGUCACUACGAGGAAGCCCCAUGGCUAACACACAGUUGAAUAAAGAUGGUUUCAAGUCUGCAAUUUUGACAAAGAAGAAGAAUGUCUAAAGAGUGGCAGAAAUGUACACAAGCGUUCUUUGUGACAAGCCUGAACAUUGGACUUACCUGCCUAGACCAAAAAAGAAAAAGAGCACUAGGCAUUGUUAGCGCUGACCAAUGACUGCUUUAGA
This is a long non-coding RNA of Chionomys nivalis (European snow vole), 791 nucleotides long. RefSeq lists it as uncharacterized. The transcript has 3 exons. NCBI's taxonomy places the organism in Eukaryota, Metazoa, Chordata, Mammalia, Rodentia, Cricetidae. The record is from RefSeq and is a predicted model, not a curated record.